GACGAACGCUGGCGGCGUGCUUAACACAUGCAAGUCGAACGGAAAGGCCCUGCUUUUGUGGGGUGCUCGAGUGGCGAACGGGUGAGUAACGCGUGAGUAACCUGCCCUUGACUUUGGGAUAACUUCAGGAAACUGGGGCUAAUACCGGAUAGGAGCUCCUGCUGCAUGGUGGGGGUUGGAAAGUUUCGGCGGUUGGGGAUGGACUCGCGGCUUAUCAGCUUGUUGGUGGGGUAGUGGCUUACCAAGGCUUUGACGGGUAGCCGGCCUGAGAGGGUGACCGGCAAACGUGGGAGUGAGAUACGGCCCGGACGGCUACGGGAGGCAGCAGUGGGGAGUGUUGGAUAAUGGGCGGAAGCCUGAUGCAGCAACGCGGCGUGGGGGAUGACGGAGUGCGGGUUGUAAAACGCGUGCGCCUGUGACGAAGCGUGAGUGACGGUAAUGGGUAAAGAAGCACCGGAUAACUACGUG
This 468-nucleotide ribosomal RNA is filed under the name uncultured bacterium. RNAcentral's name for it is "partial 16S ribosomal RNA". It matches the Rfam family "Bacterial small subunit ribosomal RNA", at positions 28 to 507 of the family's 1533-position model. The record is from RNAcentral.